Long non-coding RNA from Papaver somniferum (opium poppy), 2897 nucleotides. RefSeq lists it as uncharacterized. The transcript is spliced from 5 exons. NCBI's taxonomy places the organism in Eukaryota, Viridiplantae, Streptophyta, Magnoliopsida, Ranunculales, Papaveraceae. The record is from RefSeq and is a predicted model, not a curated record.
GGUUUAGGUGUGUCAUAUAAAUACAGGUUUCUCGAACAGUCUCUCUUUUCUUUCUUUGCCUCUCCGAAGAAACCUAAUUACUCAGUACAGGGAACCAUAAGGAUUUCAUAUUCAACAAGAGAAGAAAAACUCAAUUCACAUCACCAUGCCUCCAUUUUAUUCUUCUACGUACCUGGACUCUUGGGUAUCACCUCAAUGCGGUUUAUGUUUCCUUUAUGUGAUUUGUGUUUGCAGGAAAUUUAGGAGGAAAAGUUGAAUUCCAAAGAAGAUGAGAGGAAAUAAGAAAAAGGAAGCCAAAUGGAUGAUGUCUUGCUGUGGAAUUUGUAUAGAGCUUUGAUCAUCUGAAGGUGAUCUUUAGGCUGAUAUCGAAGUUAAAUUUUGUUCAGGAAGUUUAGAAAAUGCAGAAUCAUUUAAUCCUUUGUGGAUUAAUAUUGCUUAAUAGCUUUGGGGUGGGAAAUAUGCUAUUGUUCAAGGUGGCAUUGGACCAUUGGAUUGUUAACUUUAUCUUAGGGUUUUCAAAGCUCAAGGUAUAUGGCAACCAUAUGAUCGGAGGAUGAGGACACUGCAAUAAGUUUAUGAAUGAACAUAAAUUGAAAUCCAUUUGCAUUUCAGAUUGCAUCCCACAUUACAAGUAAGUGCCUACACUUUGCAGUUACAUAUUUUAAGAAAUUGAGUACUUGGCAGUUUAAGAACGAACAUGAUAACUUUUUGGUUAUUAUAAAUAAACUUCGUUUACACUUUAUAUGCCAAAUUCAAAAACGUAUAAAUAUUUUGUCUAUAUUUUUCUCUAAAAUCCCCGGAGUUUCUUUAUAGGAACACAACGGGACCUUACCCGUCGACGUAAACAAAAUGUCUAAUUGUUUUAUUUCACGUGUUGUGCUCUGGUGAUAUGGAUUUGGCUGAAUAAACAAAAUCAGGAGUGGCAUUAUGUCCCACAAGGAUGGUGCUCACGAUGCGUAUUUGCACAAGAGUAGAAAUGAGUCGGAAACCUUGGCUGAAAAACAGGUUCACAUGCACAACAAUAUUGCAAAGUAUUGUUAGUGGUGUUAGGUAUCUUCUAGGAAUUCACACUGCCAUAGUGUUCUUGCAUGUUUUUGGUCAUGUCAGGAUAUUGCCAAUGCUAAUCAUAUUAACUCUACAUAAUGCUAAUGAUAAUGGCUCUUGAAUGCAUCAUAUUUAUUCAUUCAAAAAUGGCUCUUGCCUUUAUGAUAAUGUGUUUUCUGAGUUGCUCUAUCUCAUGUAUCCAUCCUUGCAUUUCAUUGACUCUGCACCUAAGCUGUCAGAUACGUCCUUCAAGCGAGGUCAGUUUGUACACCUCUAUUGUUAUUUACACUAUUUUUCUUUACUUUUUUGCAUAGCUUAUAGUUGUGGUUUUCUUUAACUGUUGAGUGUGACAGGCGCAAAUGAGGAAAUUCUAUUGGUAAAUAGGUAAUGUGCGUCUGAAUGCUUCAUUGAUGUUAACACCUUGGAGACUUGAUGCCCUAAAGAAAUCAUUCAUUUUCGUUACUGUUUUCCCUCUUUUUUUGUUUUUUCUUCAGUAUUGGAAAUAAUGAGGAGAUGAUUGGGUAAAUUCCUUAUGUGUUUGGUCAUCAAACUGAUGGCAUGAAUGUAUUAGCCCUAGGAACGCCAGUAUCUAUUAUGAUCUGAACUUUGCGAGUGUGUACAACUAACCCAUGAAGGAUCUUACAAGGCUUCCAUAACGAGCAAAUCGGUUCAUAUUUUAGCAAAUGUUUGUGACACACUUCUUCAACUUGAACCAAAAUUAGCAACUGAAAUUGGAAACAAAGUUGAUAUAUUAGCAUGAAUAACUGAUUUGGAUUUUUUAUUUCUUUGCAGGAGCAUCAAGUUCCUUCUCAGGGAAUUUCAUAUUUCCAUGUAUUACCCUUGCCAUCUUAGCUCAGUUGGAAGAGCACAUGGGUUUGAACUUUGAACCAUGUGGUCAUGGGUUCGAUUCCCACAGAUGGCGGAGAGACCCUAUAGUUUAGGGUGCACUUUAGGGUGCAGCUACUCUAACAUGGUUCUUCCUCAGGUAAAAAUUUCACUGGUGGGUUCUCAGAGACCGUGGACGUGGGUGGCCAUGGUCACGAGGAACCUAACAACUAGCAGAAAUUUUGCACGUUCUAUGUCUAAUAGCUGAACAUUACUUUUUUUGGUAUUUUUUGCCGGGUCUUCAGGGAAUAACCGAGUGUAAGCUUCUACUAAACUGUUUCUGCAAUAAGUGAAUGAUUAACCUUACCUGGGAAUCAAGAUUCAUGCAUGGACAUAGUGUGCUGCGGUGGUCAUAAGUAGUAAUUGUCAUAAUUCCAGUUAGGAGAACUUUACUCAUAGGUACUAUCUGUUUCUAUGUUAAGUCUACAUAUAUCUAGCCUACGCUGCUUUCGGGUAUUUGGUUGUUUGUAAAAGGAAAAGAUAGAGCAAAACACGUACAAGCUUGGAUUUGGAGUGAUACCAUUCUUGGAGAAAGCUAAGAUAUUAAUUGAUGAAAUGUUUUUGGAGGGACUUGAAAUAAUAGUCGAGCAAAAUUGUACUUCUGUGUAGAAAGAAUAUGAGGAUGGUUUCGUUCUCACGAAAAGAUUGUAGCAGAUUGGGAUGGUUUGGAUCUUACGAAAAUAUGUUAGAAGAAGAAGAUGCUGCUUAGAAGGUGAAAGGAAGAAAAUUUUAUUGAUACGACCAUGACUCUACUGAUUUUUUCCUGUAGGAAAUAUUAGUAAUGAAAGAUUUACCAAGUAUCGAGAAUUAUAUCAUUUGACAAGUAAAUUGUAUUGUUCAUGAAUAAAAACGAGACAUAGUUGUUUAGGAAGCCAACAUCGUUCUUAGCCACUGAUUGUUGAAUACUAAUUUGGCAAAGUUACACUUAUCAGAGUUCUUUGACCAUGGAUUUAAGGAAAUAACUCAAA